Molecule: ribosomal RNA, 253 nt
Filed under: uncultured bacterium
Lineage: Bacteria
Description: partial 16S ribosomal RNA
Rfam family: Bacterial small subunit ribosomal RNA
Source: RNAcentral
UACAGAGGUCUCAAGCGUUGUUCGGAUUCAUUGGGCGUAAAGGGUGCGUAGGCGGCGCGGUAAGUCGGGUGUGAAAUCUCGGAGCUUAACUCCGAAACUGCAUUCGAUACUGCCGUGCUUGAGGACUGGAGAGGAGACUGGAAUUUACGGUGUAGCGGUGAAAUGCGUAGAUAUCGUAAGGAAGACCAGUGGCGAAGGCGGGUCUCUGGACAGUUCCUGACGCUGAGGCACGAAGGUCAGGGGAGCAAAGGGG